This 2892-nucleotide ribosomal RNA is filed under the name Pseudomonas sp. JL2. RNAcentral describes it as "23S ribosomal RNA". It matches the Rfam family "Bacterial large subunit ribosomal RNA". Lineage: Bacteria; Pseudomonadati; Pseudomonadota; Gammaproteobacteria; Pseudomonadales; Pseudomonadaceae. The record is from RNAcentral.
GGUCAAGUGAAGAAGCGCAUACGGUGGAUGCCUUGGCAGUCAGAGGCGAUGAAAGACGUGGUAGCCUGCGAAAAGCUUCGGGGAGUCGGCAAACAGACUUUGAUCCGGAGAUGUCUGAAUGGGGGAACCCAGCCAUCAUAAGAUGGUUAUCUUGUACUGAAUACAUAGGUGCAAGAGGCGAACCAGGGGAACUGAAACAUCUAAGUACCCUGAGGAAAAGAAAUCAACCGAGAUUCCCUUAGUAGUGGCGAGCGAACGGGGACUAGCCCUUAAGUGGCUUUGAGAUUAGCGGAACGCUCUGGAAAGUGCGGCCAUAGUGGGUGAUAGCCCUGUACGCGAAAAUCUCUUAGUCAUGAAAUCGAGUAGGACGGAGCACGAGAAACUUUGUCUGAAUAUGGGGGGACCAUCCUCCAAGGCUAAAUACUACUGACUGACCGAUAGUGAACUAGUACCGUGAGGGAAAGGCGAAAAGAACCCCGGAGAGGGGAGUGAAAUAGAUCCUGAAACCGUAUGCGUACAAGCAGUGGGAGCCCACUUUGUUGGGUGACUGCGUACCUUUUGUAUAAUGGGUCAGCGACUUAUUUUCAGUGGCGAGCUUAACCGAAUAGGGGAGGCGUAGCGAAAGCGAGUCUUAAUAGGGCGUCUAGUCGCUGGGAAUAGACCCGAAACCGGGCGAUCUAUCCAUGGGCAGGUUGAAGGUUGGGUAACACUAACUGGAGGACCGAACCGACUACCGUUGAAAAGUUAGCGGAUGACCUGUGGAUCGGAGUGAAAGGCUAAUCAAGCUCGGAGAUAGCUGGUUCUCCUCGAAAGCUAUUUAGGUAGCGCCUCAUGUAUCACUGUAGGGGGUAGAGCACUGUUUCGGCUAGGGGGUCAUCCCGACUUACCAAACCGAUGCAAACUCCGAAUACCUACAAGUGCCGAGCAUGGGAGACACACGGCGGGUGCUAACGUCCGUCGUGAAAAGGGAAACAACCCAGACCGUCAGCUAAGGUCCCAAAGUUAUGGUUAAGUGGGAAACGAUGUGGGAAGGCUUAGACAGCUAGGAGGUUGGCUUAGAAGCAGCCACCCUUUAAAGAAAGCGUAAUAGCUCACUAGUCGAGUCGGCCUGCGCGGAAGAUGUAACGGGGCUCAAACCAUACACCGAAGCUACGGGUAUCACUUAGGUGAUGCGGUAGAGGAGCGUUCUGUAAGCCUGUGAAGGUGAGUUGAGAAGCUUGCUGGAGGUAUCAGAAGUGCGAAUGCUGACAUGAGUAACGACAAUGGGUGUGAAAAACACCCACGCCGAAAGACCAAGGUUUCCUGCGCAACGUUAAUCGACGCAGGGUUAGUCGGUCCCUAAGGCGAGGCUGAAAAGCGUAGUCGAUGGAAAACAGGUUAAUAUUCCUGUACUUCUGGUUAUUGCGAUGGAGGGACGGAGAAGGCUAGGCCAGCUUGGCGUUGGUUGUCCAAGUUUAAGGUGGUAGGCUGAGAUCUUAGGUAAAUCCGGGAUCUUAAGGCCGAGAGCUGAUGACGAGUUACCCUUUGGGUGACGAAGUGGUUGAUGCCAUGCUUCCAAGAAAAGCUUCUAAGCUUCAGAUAACCAGGAACCGUACCCCAAACCGACACAGGUGGUUGGGUAGAGAAUACCAAGGCGCUUGAGAGAACUCGGGUGAAGGAACUAGGCAAAAUGGCACCGUAACUUCGGGAGAAGGUGCGCCGGUGAGGGUGAAGCACUUGCUGCGUAAGCCCACGCCGGUCGAAGAUACCAGGCCGCUGCGACUGUUUAUUAAAAACACAGCACUCUGCAAACACGAAAGUGGACGUAUAGGGUGUGACGCCUGCCCGGUGCCGGAAGGUUAAUUGAUGGGGUUAGCUAACGCGAAGCUCUUGAUCGAAGCCCCGGUAAACGGCGGCCGUAACUAUAACGGUCCUAAGGUAGCGAAAUUCCUUGUCGGGUAAGUUCCGACCUGCACGAAUGGCGUAACGAUGGCGGCGCUGUCUCCACCCGAGACUCAGUGAAAUUGAAAUCGCUGUGAAGAUGCAGUGUAUCCGCGGCUAGACGGAAAGACCCCGUGAACCUUUACUAUAGCUUUGCACUGGACUUUGAAUUUGCUUGUGUAGGAUAGGUGGGAGGCUUUGAAGCGUGGACGCCAGUUCGCGUGGAGCCAUCCUUGAAAUACCACCCUGGCAACUUUGAGGUUCUAACUCAGGUCCGUUAUCCGGAUCGAGGACAGUGUAUGGUGGGUAGUUUGACUGGGGCGGUCUCCUCCUAAAGAGUAACGGAGGAGUACGAAGGUGCGCUCAGACCGGUCGGAAAUCGGUCGUAGAGUAUAAAGGCAAAAGCGCGCUUGACUGCGAGACAGACACGUCGAGCAGGUACGAAAGUAGGUCUUAGUGAUCCGGUGGUUCUGUAUGGAAGGGCCAUCGCUCAACGGAUAAAAGGUACUCCGGGGAUAACAGGCUGAUACCGCCCAAGAGUUCAUAUCGACGGCGGUGUUUGGCACCUCGAUGUCGGCUCAUCACAUCCUGGGGCUGAAGCCGGUCCCAAGGGUAUGGCUGUUCGCCAUUUAAAGUGGUACGCGAGCUGGGUUUAGAACGUCGUGAGACAGUUCGGUCCCUAUCUGCCGUGGACGUUUGAGAUUUGAGAGGGGCUGCUCCUAGUACGAGAGGACCGGAGUGGACGAACCUCUGGUGUUCCGGUUGUCACGCCAGUGGCAUUGCCGGGUAGCUAUGUUCGGAAAAGAUAACCGCUGAAAGCAUCUAAGCGGGAAACUUGCCUCAAGAUGAGAUCUCACUGGGACCUUGAGUCCCCUGAAGGGCCGUCGAAGACUACGACGUUGAUAGGUGGGGUGUGUAAGCGCUGUGAGGCGUUGAGCUAACCCAUACUAAUUGCCCGUGAGGCUUGACCAU